UCAAUUGGAAUUGUUCUGAAUUGGAUUGAGUCUGUCAAACUAUAAUCUUGGAUGAGACAGCUUCAGCACAAGUGAUGAGAACUAAAGACAUCCACAGAUGUAGAUGAGCUUUCCAACCUGUACAGUAAGUCUACAUGGGGAUUCUUCAAAGAUAGGCCGUGGCUACUGCAGAGGACAGAGAGCCAGGAAACAGUGGUGUCAGGAAAUCCAAAGGAAGAAGGUGCUUGCUGCUUGCAGAAAUUGCUACCAUCAUUUUACCGCAAAUGAACUUUAGCCCGUAGAGUCUUAAAGUAUAAGAUGAGACUACCCAUUGGGCCAUUUGGAAGACGUUCUGAACUCUGAGGAGCUUUUUGCUCAAAAUAUUGAAACAAACUCGCAGGAGGCAUCAGCUCCUCCUUCCUGCCCUGCUUGAGUUCCA
Molecule: long non-coding RNA, 418 nt
Organism: Mus pahari (shrew mouse)
Lineage: Eukaryota; Metazoa; Chordata; Mammalia; Rodentia; Muridae
Exons: 3
Source: RefSeq, a predicted model, not a curated record